GCGGCCAAUGUAGUCAGUCUGGGGACCCACCUCCCCCUUUCAGCUGAGCGCACACAACACAGCAUCCACGUGAGUCAGCUUCUUAAAGGCGAAGGCUUGGCCUGUCUAAUUGCGGCAGCUGCGAGACAUCGCACGUCAUUAGCGUCACCAGGUAGCGGCUGGAGCCGAGCUUCCUGAUACCUAGUGAGCCGCGGUGAUGACAAAUGAAAACAAUAAGCUGUUUCCUAGACAAACAGCUGCCUAGUUUCGCUCUGUCGCCCAGGCUGGAGUGCAGUGGCACAAUCUCGGUUCACUGCAACCUCUGCCUCCCGGGUUCAAGCAGUUCUCUUGCCUCAGCCUCCCAAGUAACUGGUACUACAGAGAAUUGAUACAAAAAAUGAUCAUGUGAAGAAUUUGCAUCUUCUGCAGAACUACCGGUAUCAGUCAGCAGUAGGAGAUUGUAUAAAUUCAGCCUGAGAUUCCAGAAUAUUCUGUGUAUUGACCACCACAGCAAGAAGAAAAAGUCCAUGUAGGACUGAAAUGAGGAAGAAUGAGAAGGAGUUGAUUUCUGCUGAAUCCAGGAGAAAGAGCUUUCCUCACUACUAACAAGACAGAGGUGUUGAACGAGAAAUGGAAACUCAUUUCCCCCCUCAGUUUUUUUCUUUCUUGCGUACUUUUCCAAUGCCACUUCCAAAUUCAUAGUGAAUAGCAUGAUUAGGAGGUUUUCACAUGGCCCUCUCUGUUUUUUAUUCCUCUAAAUGAUUUUUAAAGUUGUCCAAGGUGAAAACUUUUGUGUGCUUUAUUAGAAAACAUUAAUUACUUACCAAGACACUGUGCUAAGUAGCUUUCCACACAUGACCUCAUUUAAUCCUCAAAAGAACUCUGUGAAUUAGGUUAUCAUGACUACCUCCAAUUUACACAGCCCGGAAGUGUGGGAGCUGGAAUUAAAACAGAGGCAUAUCACCUAGGACUUCAGGGCCCAUGCUCUCUACCACCUCCCAGUUCAUUGAGAGUGAGGAUAAACCUAACUGAUGAGCCUGCUGUGGGGGUCUGGAUUCAUGGUAUAGUGCCUCCCCCACCCCCGAUCCCCCACCUAGCCAAGGUUUUAUUGUGGAAACCAAGGUGAACAGAAAAGGCUGAUCAGAAUGGUCAGAGCCAGACAACCCCACAGAAGUGCAGCACGUUGAUUUCUGACUAUUUAUACAACCCCAUAGGACACUCCCCAUUCACUGAGGCUGGCUGGUGGGAGACAACUCUUAAGUGUAAGAGAAAGAUGCACGUUGGCUAGCAGGGAGCACUUCAUCAUCAUGAUGGAAGGAAGACCACUCAUUAACUUGUUGGACUUGUGGACCACUUCUUGCCUCAUGUUGACCAAAACCAUGUGAAUAGGUUUUUAGCUGUAGCUGCUCCUUAGCCCUCAGAGUUCUGGGAAUAGUAGAGACCCUGGAACUAGUGUUGAAGGAAGUGCCCUGCUUUCCAUCCCCUAUGCACUCAGACCAUGAGAGCAGCUCUUCCAUGAUAUAAAAAUGUGAAGACGUUACAUAUGUACUCCAUUAAAUUGAAUCAGUGUCCUCUUAACUUACGUGUGUUUGAUGUGGCCUUUUCAGUUCGUAAGCACCACCCAUGCUUUGCAUAUAUGUAGGGACAUAAAGGCAAUUAAAUUGUAGUUCUCAACCCGGUGCACAUAAGAAUCACUUGUAAAGCAUGGAAAUGCCCAGGUCCUACCCCAGACCAAUUAAAUCAGUGUCUCUGGGCAUGGGGUCCAAACAUCAGGAUGUGCUUGAAGCUUUCCAGGUGAUUCUAAUGCGAUGCUUUCCAGGUGAUUCUCAGCUGGUUCUAAGAAUUGCUGGAUGAAAGCUAAGUCAACUGUGAAAAUGUGCUAACAAACCGUG
This 1871-nucleotide long non-coding RNA is filed under the name Homo sapiens (human). RNAcentral's name for it is "HSALNT0301449". Lineage: Eukaryota; Metazoa; Chordata; Mammalia; Primates; Hominidae. The record is from RNAcentral.